Molecule: ribosomal RNA, 468 nt
Filed under: uncultured bacterium
Lineage: Bacteria
Description: partial 16S ribosomal RNA
Rfam family: Bacterial small subunit ribosomal RNA
Source: RNAcentral
GACGAACGCUGGCGGCGUGCUUAACACAUGCAAGUCGAACGGCAAGGCCCUGCUUUUGUGGUGUGCUCGAGUGGCGAACGGGUGCGUAACACGUGAGUAACCUGCCCUUGACUUUGGGAUAACUUCAGGAAACUGGGGCUAAUACCGGAUCGGAGCUCCUGCUGCAUGGUGGGGGUUGGAAAGUUUCGGCGGUUGGGGAUGGACUCGCGGCUUAUCAGCUUGCUGGUGGGGUAGUGGCUUACCCAGGCUUUGACGGGUCGCCGGCCUGAGAGGGUGACCGGCCACAUUGGGACUGAGAUACGGCCCAGACUCCUACGGGAGGCAGCAGUGGGGAAUAUUGCACAAUGGGCGGAAGCCUGAUGCAGCAACGCCGCGUGCGGGAUGACGGCCUGCGGGUUGUAAACCGCUUUCGCCUGUGACGAAGCGUGAGUGACGGUAAUGGGUAAAGAAGCACCGGCUAACUACGUG